UUCUGGCUCAGAUUGAACGCUGGCGGCGUGCCUAACACAUGCAAGUCGUGCGUGAAAGGGCUUCGGCCUGAGUAAAGCGGCGCACGGGUGAGUAACGCGUGGAUGAUCUGCCCAUGAGUUGGGAAUAACGGCUGGAAACGGUCGCUAAUACCGAAUACGCUCCGAUUUCACAGUUCGGGGGAAAGGUGGCCUCUGCUUGCAAGCUACCGCUCAUGGAUGAGUCCGCGUCCCAUUAGCUAGUUGGGGGGGUAAUGGCCCACCAAGGCGACGAUGGGUAGCCGACCUGAGAGGGUGAUCGGCCACACUGGGACUGGAACACGGCCCAGACUCCUACGGGAGGCAGCAGUGGGGAAUAUUGCGCAAUGGGCGAAAGCCUGACGCAGCGACGCCGCGUGAGGGAUGAAGGCCUUCGGGUCGUAAACCUCUGUCAGGAGGGAAGAACCGCCAUGGUGCUAAUCAGCCAUGGUCUGAAGGUACCUCCAAAGGAAGCACCGGCUAACUCCGUGCCAGCAGCCGCGGUAAUACGGAGGGUGCAAGCGUUAAUCGGAAUCACUGGGCGUAAAGCGCACGUAGGCUGUUUGGUAAGUCAGGGGUGAAAUCCCGCGGCUCAACC
RNAcentral lists this ribosomal RNA (613 nucleotides) under Desulfovibrio oryzae. Its description in RNAcentral is "bacterial SSU rRNA". It matches the Rfam family "Bacterial small subunit ribosomal RNA", at positions 17 to 614 of the family's 1533-position model. Lineage: Bacteria; Pseudomonadati; Thermodesulfobacteriota; Desulfovibrionia; Desulfovibrionales; Desulfovibrionaceae. The record is from RNAcentral.